GACGAACGCUGGCGGCGUGCCUAAUACAUGCAAGUUGAGCGCUGAAGGUUGGUACUUGUACCAACUGGAUGAGCAGCGAACGGGUGAGUAACGCGUGGGGAAUCUGCCUUUGAGCGGGGGACAACAUUUGGAAACGAAUGCUAAUACCGCAUAAAAACUUUAAACACAAGUUUUAAGUUUGAAAGAUGCAAUUGCAUCACUCAAAGAUGAUCCCGCGUUGUAUUAGCUAGUUGGUGAGGUAAAGGCUCACCAAGGCGAUGAUACAUAGCCGACCUGAGAGGGUGAUCGGCCACAUUGGGACUGAGACACGGCCCAAACUCCUACGGGAGGCAGCAGUAGGGAAUCUUCGGCAAUGGACGAAAGUCUGACCGAGCAAACGCCCGCGUGAGUGAAGAAAGGUUUUUCGGA
Molecule: ribosomal RNA, 408 nt
Filed under: Lactococcus lactis
Lineage: Bacteria; Bacillati; Bacillota; Bacilli; Lactobacillales; Streptococcaceae
Description: bacterial SSU rRNA
Rfam family: Bacterial small subunit ribosomal RNA
Source: RNAcentral